Molecule: ribosomal RNA, 271 nt
Filed under: uncultured bacterium
Lineage: Bacteria
Description: partial 16S ribosomal RNA
Rfam family: Bacterial small subunit ribosomal RNA
Source: RNAcentral
UACGAAGGGUGCAAGCGUUAAUCGGAAUUACUGGGCGUAAAGCGCGCGUAGGUGGUUCAGCAAGUUGGAUGUGAAAGCCCUGGGCUCAACCUGGGAACUGCAUCCAAAACUACUGAGCUAGAGUACGGUAGAGGGUAGUGGAAUUUCCUGUGUAGCGGUGAAAUGCGUAGAUAUUAGGAGGAACACCAGUGGCGAAGGCGGCUUUCUGGACAGUAACUGACGCUGAGGCGCGAAAGCGUGGGGAGCAAACAGGAUUAGAAACCCUAGUAGU